AGGAGUGUGUAACAACUCACCUGCCGAAGCAACUAGCCCUUAAACCUGUUAUGGGGCUUAAGUUGUAUACCUAUACAUUACCGCUAAAGUUGAUGAUUUAUAUUACUUGUGAUAUAAAUUUUGAAACUUUAGUGAGUAGGAAGGUACAAUGGUAUGCGUAGAAGUGUUUGGCGUAAGCCUGCAUGGAGCUGCCAUUGGUACAGAUCUUGGUGGUAGUAGCAAAUAAUCGAAUGAGACCUUGGAGGACUGAAGUGGAGAAGGGUUUCGUGUGAACAGUGGUUGAUCACGAGUUAGUCGGUCCUAAGUUCAAGGCGAAAGCCGAAAAUUUUCAAGUAAAACAAAAAUGCCUAACUAUAUAAACAAAGCGAAUAUAAUACACUUGAAUAAUUUUGAACGAAAGGGAAUACGGUUCCAAUUCCGUAACCUGUUGAGUAUCCGUUUGUUAUUAAAUAUGGGCCUCGUGCUCAUCCUGGCAACAGGAACGACCAUAAAGAAGCCGUCGAGAGAUAUCGGAAGAGUUUUCUUUUCUGUUUUAUAGCCGUACUACCAUGGAAGUCUUUCGCAGAGAGAUAUGGUAGAUGGGCUAGAAGAGCAUGACAUAUACUGUUGUGUCGAUAUUUUCUCCUCGGACCUUGAAAAUUUAUGGUGGGGACACGCAAACUUCUCAACAGGCCGUACCAAUAUCCGCAGCUGGUCUCCAAGGUGAAGAGUCUCUAGUCGAUAGAAUAAUGUAGGUAAGGGAAGUCGGCAAAUUUAGAUCCGUAACUUCGGGAUAAGGAUUGGCUCUGAAGAUUGAGAUAGUCGGGCUUGAUUGGGAAACAAUAACAUGGUUUAUGUGCUCGUUCUGGGUAAAUAGAGUUUCUAGCAUUUAUGUUAGUUACUUGUUCCCCGGAUAGUUUAGUUACGUAGCCAAUUGUGGAACUUUCUUGCUAAAAUUUUUAAGAAUACUAUUUGGGUUAAACCAAUUAGUUCUUAUCAAUUAUAACGAUUAUCAAUUAACAAUCAAUUCAGAACUGGCACGGACUUGGGGAAUCCGACUGUCUAAUUAAAACAAAGCAUUGUGAUGGCCCUAGCGGGUGUUGACACAAUGUGAUUUCUGCCCAGUGCUCUGAAUGUCAAAGUGAAGAAAUUCAAGUAAGCGCGGGUCAACGGCGGGAGUAACUAUGACUCUCUUAAGGUAGCCAAAUGCCUCGUCAUCUAAUUAGUGACGCGCAUGAAUGGAUUAACGAGAUUCCUACUGUCCCUAUCUACUAUCUAGCGAAACCACAGCCAAGGGAACGGGCUUGGAAUAAUUAGCGGGGAAAGAAGACCCUUUUGAGCUUGACUCUAAUCUGGCAGUGUAAGGAGACAUAAGAGGUGUAGAAUAAGUGGGAGAUAUUAGACCUCGGUUUGGUAUCGUCAAUGAAAUACCACUACUCUUAUUGUUUCCUUACUUACUUGAUUAAAUGGAACGUGUAUCAUUUCCUAGCCAUUAUACGGAUAUAUUUAUUAUAUCUUAUGGUAUUGGGUUUUGAUGCAAGCUUCUUGAUCAAAGUAUCACGAGUUUGUU
Molecule: ribosomal RNA, 1549 nt
Organism: Drosophila sechellia
Lineage: Eukaryota; Metazoa; Arthropoda; Insecta; Diptera; Drosophilidae
Rfam family: Eukaryotic large subunit ribosomal RNA
Source: Rfam